Molecule: ribosomal RNA, 274 nt
Filed under: uncultured bacterium
Lineage: Bacteria
Description: partial 16S ribosomal RNA
Rfam family: Bacterial small subunit ribosomal RNA
Source: RNAcentral
AUACAGAGGGUGCGAGCGUUAAUCGGAAUUACUGGGCGUAAAGCGCGCGUAGGCGGCUACUUAAGUCAGAUGUGAAAUCCCCGGGCUCAACCUGGGAACUGCAUCUGAUACUGGGUAGCUAGAGUUUUGGAGAGGGAAGUAGAAUUUCAGGUGUAGCGGUGAAAUGCAUAGAGAUCUGAAGGAAUACCAGUGGCGAAGGCGACUUCCUGGACAAAAACUGACGCUGAGGUGCGAAAGCGUGGGUAGCAAACGGGAUUAGAAACCCCAGUAGUCC